AGGAUGAAACAGGGGUGCCCUCCAAAGCUGAUUUAGCCAAGAGGCGCUGAGAAAGACCCUAGAACCCGAUCCAGGUAAUGCUGGCGUGGGGAGUUACAUCAGACCGACA
Molecule: non-coding RNA, 109 nt
Filed under: Polynucleobacter sp.
Lineage: Bacteria; Pseudomonadati; Pseudomonadota; Betaproteobacteria; Burkholderiales; Burkholderiaceae
Description: TPP sequence
Rfam family: TPP riboswitch aptamer (THI element)
About the family: Vitamin B(1) in its active form thiamin pyrophosphate (TPP) is an essential coenzyme that is synthesised by coupling of pyrimidine and thiazole moieties in bacteria.
Source: RNAcentral